UACGUAGGUCCCGAGCGUUGUCCGGAUUUAUUGGGCGUAAAGCGAGCGCAGGUGGUUUAUUAAGUCUGGUGUAAAAGGCAGUGGCUCAACCAUUGUAUGCAUUGGAAACUGGUAGGCUUGAGUGCAGGAGAGGAGAGUGGAAUUCCAUGUGUAGCGGUGAAAUGCGUAGAUAUAUGGAGGAACACCGGUGGCGAAAGCGGCUCUCUGGCCUGUAACUGACACUGAGGCUCGGAAGCGUGGGUAUCGAACAGG
Molecule: ribosomal RNA, 252 nt
Filed under: uncultured bacterium
Lineage: Bacteria
Description: partial 16S ribosomal RNA
Rfam family: Bacterial small subunit ribosomal RNA
Source: RNAcentral